Canis lupus familiaris (dog) is the source of this 94-nucleotide non-coding RNA. Lineage: Eukaryota; Metazoa; Chordata; Mammalia; Carnivora; Canidae. The record is from Rfam.
AGGAGGAACAGCCCCAGUGGCGGGGCAGCUCUGGAAACCUGGAUUCAGCUCCGGCCGGAACUCCGUCUGCAGGGCCUGGAGGCUCCGGGGCGGG